Molecule: ribosomal RNA, 255 nt
Filed under: uncultured bacterium
Lineage: Bacteria
Description: partial 16S ribosomal RNA
Rfam family: Bacterial small subunit ribosomal RNA
Source: RNAcentral
GACGAACCGUGCGAACGUUAUUCGGAAUCACUGGGCUUAAAGCGCGUGUAGGCGGCCCGGCACGUCCGUCGCUGAAAUCCCCCGGCUCAACCGGGGAAGGGGCGCGGAUACGACCGGGCUGGAGGGGGGUAGGGGGAUCGGGAACUUCCGGUGGAGCGGUGAAAUGCGUUGAGAUCGGAAGGAACGCCCGCGGCGAAAGCGCGGUCCUGGACCCCACCUGACGCGUGAGACGCGAAAGCCAGGGGAGCGAACGGG